AGGUGGGGACGCGGCUCCCGCAGGGGCGGCCGCCUGAGGGAUGGCGUCCGCUCGAGGCCCGAACUUCGCCGCGCGUGUUUUGGCUGCACGACGCGGGGCGCGCCGACUCCGACAGCGGGACGAGGCCUGCGCGGACUCCAGAGUUUGGACGGAGAGAGAGAGAGAGGCAGAGACACAGGCAGAGGGAGAAGCAGGCUCCAUGCAGGGAGCCCAACGCGGGACUCGAUCCCAGGACCCCGGGGUCAUGACCUGAGCUGAAGGCAGAUGCUAAACCUCUGGGCCACCCGCGGCUGCCCCUUAUCUGAUUAUUUUUAUUUUAUUUUUUUAAGAUUUUAUUUAUUUGCUUAUUUAUUUAUUCAUGAUAGACACAGAGAGAGAGGCAGAGACCCAGGCAGAGGGAGAAGCAGGCUCCAUGCAGGGAGCCUGAUGUGGGACUCGAUCCCGGGGCCCCAGGACCACGCCCUGAGCUGAAGGCAGGCACUAAACCGCUGAGCCAUCCAGGGAUCCCUUAUUUUUUUAAGUUUUAUUUAUUUACUUAUUCAUGAUAGACCCACAGAGAGAGAGGCAGAGACACAGGCAGAGGGAGAAGCAGGCUCCCAGCAAGGAGCCCGACACAGAACUCGAUCCCAGGACCCCGGGGUCACACCUGAGCUGAAGGCAGGUACUAAACCGCUGGGCCACCCGCGGCUGCCCCUUAUGUGAUUAUUUUUAUAAGUGUCCCCCAGGCAUGACUGGAAAGGAAGCUGCCUCCUCAGCGACCGGGCCCAUUUUCCAUCACCAACCUGGUCUGUCAUCACCACUUGAAAUACUGACCAACAUUAAGACGUGGAAACUGCUUUUUGAAAGCAAAAGCCAAACGUCAUUAAAAGCAUCAUUUUGUAAAGGCCUGAAGUGGGAAUCUUCAGUGAUGAUGGGUCUGGCUGCAGUUCCUGGACUUGCACCGCUGUAGAGCACUUAACUGGAGCUCUGUGACACCAUCCAUGUUUGAGCCAAGAAACCUUUGGACUCUAUCCAGUUGUCUGCUCUUCAAAUAACGCUCCUAGAAGCAUUUUUGUGUGCCUCCUUAUGUUUAGGAACUACGAUUGUUGGGUUGCUGUCCUCACGUUUCACAGAUAAUGCUGAAAAUUUUUACAAAGAAAUUGUGCCAAUUGCUAUAGCUUUACAUCACCACUAAUUCUUGAUAUUGUCAAACUUUUAAUGUUUGCCAGUCGGAUGGGUAUAAAGUGAUAUCCUGUGGUUUUGAUUUUCCCUUUUCCCUGAUUUGCACCUCAGUUGAACAUCGAAUAGGUUGGUGGGCCCUAUGCACAUCCUCUAUGAAAUACCUGUUAACCAGGUUUCUAUUUUGUUCUUUCUUAUUUCUUAUUCAUUUGUAAGCAUUCUUUUUUUUUUUUUUUUUUUUUUUAAGAUUUUAUUUAUUCAUGAGAGGCCCAGAGAGAGAGAGACACAGGCAGAGGGAGAAGCAGGCUCCAUGCAGGGAGCCCGACGUGGAACUCGAUCCCGGGUCUCCAGGAUCACACCCUGGGCUGUAGGCAGUGAUAAACCGCUGAGCCACCCGGGCUGCCCAGUAAGCAUUCUUUAUAAAGUCUGGAAAUUCGUUCUCAGUUGGGAGCGUGUAUGAUAAAUAUCUUCUCCCACUUGCUACUUGCUUUUUCACUUACUUUAUGUCUUUCAGUGUGCAGUUCUUUAUUUUAAAGUGCCAAACAUACCAAUAGUUCUCCUUAAUGGGUUUUGUGUAUUAGUGUCUUUAUAAAAUGUCUUUCCUUCUCAACUGAGCUUCAAAGUGGGAGACAUCAGAGACUUUUAAAAUACUAGUGAAGCCUCUUGUGUUUGUGUGCAGAGAAGUAUAUGAUCCUCUACGCUAAUGACACUUGCAUUUAUUUCAACCAUUAAGGCUUUAAGAACGUGGAAUAAGUUGGUUAGCUGCUAAUGACAAAACAAAUCCUUUAACUACCCAGCCAGCAGGUAUAUAGCACAGAACACUGUGUGUUGCUACAAGGGCUUAGUGACUGGAAAAAGGUGGUUCCUACUUGACUGUUCCAAAGAGCAGCUUCUCAGAUCUUCAGUGUUCACUGGUAAAUUUCUAACAGUAUUUGUGUAAAGUUUGUCGUUUCAUACUUUAUACACUACAGUUGCCAUCACCGAUCCCUGUUUUGCUGGCCUUUAAGCUAUGUGGUCCAAAAUCCUGCUUCCUUAAAACAUAGAGAGUUAAUGAGCAUCUCAAGCUUUUUUUCCUUUUUAAUGAUGCCUGCACUAUCAGAGAACACUAUUCUAGUGUUCUCUCUUUUGUUUGGCACAUAAUCAUGUACAACCUUUUUAUUUCUUUGAGGUGGGAGUAUAUUUUUAGUUCCUAAACGCCAUACUAUAAAGAUCAAAUUCUUAAGCGUGUUUGAGUAGCUCAAAAGUAAAGAUAUAUUAAGGGGGGAAAAAAAAACACUGGUCUAGAUGCAAGGCACACUUAAAGCAAGUUUUACUUUUGGUUGUAUUUUCUUUGUAUAUUAUAAACAUUUAUUUAACUUGUUGCAGUUUGAAGUAAAAAAUUUCCAAAAUGUAUACUCAACAAUAAUCAUUAAAAUGUUUGCAGCGUAAAAAUAUAAAUAAAUAAAAUAAACUGUCUUUCCUA
This 2620-nucleotide long non-coding RNA is filed under the name Canis lupus familiaris (dog). RNAcentral's name for it is "lncRNA (ENSCAFG00000058351.1)". Lineage: Eukaryota; Metazoa; Chordata; Mammalia; Carnivora; Canidae. The record is from RNAcentral.